UACCAAAAUUCUUAGUCAGGUUCCCAUUCUCGUUCCUUAUAGAACGCUUUUGUGAGCGGGGACUGUUACGGUUUUGGAAGAUCAAUUUUGCUUGCGGGCUGUUUAUAUCCUCGUUUUGAGGGUAUUGCAGUUUUUCAUGGCACAACCUUCGUUUUGAAGGUAUAGUCUUCGCAAGCAAUGGCGCCCUCGGCUCUGAGAUUUGCUUAAUAAGAGUCCAUCUUAUAUUCUGUGCAUUUAUCUCGCUUAAGAGGGCUUCACAUCC
This is a small nucleolar RNA of 262 nucleotides. It matches the Rfam family "Small nucleolar RNA snR191".